UCCAAAUCGAGGUCUCAGGAAUAAACUGAGGGAGAAAAUUCAAUAUAUCGGAAUUCGCAUUCCUCUUCGCCAUGGAAGCUCGUCACGCUUCUCUAGUUCGACGAACGGUAUUCAUUUAAUCAGUAAUCACCAUCUGCAUGCGCGCAUGCAUGAUGCAUCCGUGUUUUUUUUUUUCUUUAAAUUAAUAUUUAACGUAAUCUCAUUUUCAUUUUUCUUGAGUGGAUAUGGUGCCUUGCAGUUGGAAGAGAUUAGACAAAAGAGAGCAGCUGAGAGAUUGAACAGAACGUCUUCUGGACCAUAUCUCACCAAAGCUCCAAUCGCUAAUGAUAAUAUAGGAACAAAAAUUUCAGAAAGCACAAACAGACUCUCUGAGGUGGGACAUUUUCUCCUUGGAGCUGCGGUUGAGGGGAUUUUCUUAAAUACAAUAACAACGUCAGUGGAUUAGUAUCUCAGCUGAAAGUUCUGCAGAAAAAGAAUGCAGAUCUGGAGGAAAGCAACAAGAUUUUAUUGUUGAAUGAACAGAAUACUCUACCAUCUUUAACAAAAGCGCUCAAGGAUGUUGCCUUGGAGAAAGAUGCAGCAGUUGUUGCACGGUGUAGGAGGACCUCUCAACCCAGCUUCGCACCCUCAAGAAACGUCUAAGGGAAAACAGCACAAGAACAAUGCAGAGCUGAGGAAGACGCAGCCACUUUAAGAGUAGUGGAACUGUGAAACCAUCGAUGAUACUUCCCCAUAUCUCAAGCAGUUCUCCAAUCUCACUGUGCUUCUCAAUCUCAAAUAUAAUGUAAGAAGACUUCAAUCAUUGAUUUCCUCAUGAAUGAACGGUAGAAAGUGAACCUUGAAUAUAUAUAAACAAGAUGCAGAUGGGGCCAUAUGUGGAUGUAAGAUCAGAAGCAUGUUCUUCAUCUUCCAGUAGGUCUCCAGUGAGAGCAUUAUUGUGAGGAGGCAGAGGCUUUUGGAGAGUUCUAAGAACAUUCAUCAUCUCUCUCUCUCUAGUUUCUUCCUGCUUUCAUGUGCUCAGAUUGCUGCUUAUCAGGACAUGCAGAGAUGUGGAUUUAUGUUCUGAAAAUUGCUGAAAGAAACAGAGAGAAUGUGUUGAAGUUGUCUUCAUCAUAUUUAUUUCUUGUUAAUUGAUCCAAGAAAUGCCAGAAAAGACAGCAAUGUUUUAUAGACGAGGAGAGAUUGGAAUAUCCAAUUAUUGAACAUAGAAUUUUACCCACAAGCAAAAAGAUAUCUGGGUGUUUGCCA
RNA transcript from Manihot esculenta (cassava), 1248 nucleotides. RefSeq lists it as uncharacterized. The transcript is spliced from 6 exons. The record is from RefSeq and is a predicted model, not a curated record. Lineage: Eukaryota; Viridiplantae; Streptophyta; Magnoliopsida; Malpighiales; Euphorbiaceae.